RNAcentral lists this ribosomal RNA (492 nucleotides) under uncultured bacterium. RNAcentral describes it as "partial 16S ribosomal RNA". It matches the Rfam family "Bacterial small subunit ribosomal RNA", at positions 29 to 507 of the family's 1533-position model. The record is from RNAcentral.
AGUGAACGCUGGCGGUAGGCCUAACACAUGCAAGUCGAACGGCAGCACAGUAAGAGCUUGCUCUUACGGGUGGCGAGUGGCGGACGGGUGAGGAAUACAUCGGAAUCUACUUUUUCGUGGGGGAUAACGUAGGGAAACUUACGCUAAUACCGCAUACGACCUACGGGUGAAAGCAGGGGAUCUUCUGACCUUGCGCGAUUGAAUGAGCCGAUGUAGGAUUAGCUAGUUGGCGGGGUAAAGGCCCACCAAUGCGACGAUCCGUAGCUGGUCUGAGAGGAUGAUCAGCCACACUGGAACUGAGACGCGGUCCAGACUCCUACGGAGGGCAGCAGUGGGGAAUAUUGGACAAUGGGCGCAAGCCUGAUCCAACCAUACCGCGUGGGUGAAGAAGGCCUUCGGGUUGUAAAGCCCUUUUGUUGGGAAAGAAAAGCAGCAGGUUAAUACCCCGCUGUUCUGACGGUACCCAAAGAAUAAGCACCGGCUAACUUCGUG